Orbicella faveolata is the source of this 1351-nucleotide long non-coding RNA. The record is from RefSeq and is a predicted model, not a curated record. NCBI's taxonomy places the organism in Eukaryota, Metazoa, Cnidaria, Anthozoa, Scleractinia, Merulinidae.
UCGAACGAUUACUUUAAAAGUUCUCCAAGCACAGGCAUUUUAUUUGUUACAAAGAUUUUCUAGUAAACAUGAGCGUGAGUUUAACUGACUUUUCGGACUAAUUUGCAUAAAGUUUAACUCGUGCGGGAGCCUGUACAAAUUAUUGUUAUCUGAUCAAGAUCAAUGGAUAGUCUAUAUUAAAAGUUAUUGUAGUAGAAAGAACAGUUUAGGAUCUUCUUAAGGCAAGGCAUAUAUAAGAAGAUGGGGAGGGGGAGGGGAAGGAAAUAUUUACCUUGUCAUUUGUUCUCCCACUCCAUAGGGAAACAUUGUUCGCAUCGCUACUGAAAAUUCGCGAUCUGCGAAAUACUGUAUGCAAUCUGGAAGACACUUUGAGACAAACUGAAAUUUGCUGUAAAAUUGGCUGAGAUCGCCGCUACUUUCUAUUUAAGACGGUCAGGAUGGGGUUUAACUGAGUACUGAGAAUCGGUCAAAAUUUCAAUUGUCAACUAAGAAAUGAUACAUUUGUAACUGAUAUGUGACAUCCGAGAACUGCAAAAUUUGCUGAUGGCGGAGAAAUGGGUGGGUUGAAAUUUUCACUAAUAGUAGUUAAAUCUCAGCGACCUUUACUCAUAACUGAGGGCCUCCCAGGCGGAAGUGGGGAAGGGGGGGUGGGGGAGGUAGCAUGCUCCGUUGACCUCUUAAAGAUUGCACCUUUUCUCCCCUGUUCUCUAUGAAUAAAAUUUAAUUGUUGCCUAAAUUUUCCGUCAGAGUUCCUUUAAUAGUAAAGAUAUCACUUGUUCCCUCAAAUUGAUCCCAAAAAUAUCCUUUGUUCCCUUGAUAUAAAUGAUCGUGUUCCCUUAUUCCCCAAAACCCCUGGGAGGUCCCCAUAAUUGAGAUUUCGGCGCCCCCUUCCUCCCCCUCCUUGCACCCUAUCCAGACCCGCUAUUAAAUGAGCAUUUGUUAAGUCAGCCUUUUCUAAUUAUUACGUUAUUGUCUGUCAUUAGGUAACAAACUGUGUUACCAUGCCAGUGGAUGAAGUUCUUAUGACUGACAUGGACAGACAGACAGUACAAUAAUGGUGUUCUGUGGUCCACAGGAAAAUGGUAAGUGCAGAUAUUUACCAUGGAACAAUGGACAGGUGCUAUUAAAAAAGGAUAACUUUAAAAUGAAGGAAAUAUCAAGCAUGGAGUGGAGAAAGCUGGAAAUCAAGGAAAUCAAAUGCUUCAAAGGAAAACAAGACAACCUCAAGAUGACUUCUGCUAAUGAGGUUAGUUGAUUUAUUUACACAACAUUUGCUGCGGAUCAGGCUUAGGCUUAGGUUGUUCAAAAGCAGAAUCGCUAAUCGGGAAUACAAAAACUCUGUCUCAAAUGU